RNAcentral lists this transfer RNA (74 nucleotides) under Thermoproteota archaeon. RNAcentral describes it as "Crenarchaeota archaeon (sediment metagenome) tRNA-Met". It matches the Rfam family "tRNA". Rfam says of the family: Transfer RNA (tRNA) molecules are approximately 80 nucleotides in length. Their secondary structure includes four short double-helical elements and three loops (D, anti-codon, and T loops). The record is from RNAcentral. Lineage: Archaea; Thermoproteati; Thermoproteota.
AGCGGGGUGGGAAAGCCAGGCAUUCCGCCGGGCUCAUAACCCGGAGGUCGGUGGUUCAAAUCCACCCCCCGCUA